RNAcentral lists this ribosomal RNA (253 nucleotides) under uncultured bacterium. RNAcentral describes it as "partial 16S ribosomal RNA". It matches the Rfam family "Bacterial small subunit ribosomal RNA", at positions 524 to 776 of the family's 1533-position model. The record is from RNAcentral.
UACGAAGGUCCCGAACGUUGUUCGGAAUCACUGGGCUUAAAGGGCGCGUAGGCGGGCUAUCAAGUCCGGGGUGAAAUCCUCCAGCUCAACUGGAGAACGGCCUCGGAUACUGAUGGUCUCGAGGGAGAUAGGGGCACGCGGAACUGUGGGUGGAGCGGUGAAAUGCGUUGAUAUCCAUAGGAACUCCGGUGGCGAAGGCGGCGUGCUGGAUCUCUUCUGACGCUGAGGCGCGAAAGCCAGGGGAGCGAACGGG